Molecule: non-coding RNA, 32 nt
Filed under: Homo sapiens (human)
Lineage: Eukaryota; Metazoa; Chordata; Mammalia; Primates; Hominidae
Source: RNAcentral
UCGGAUCUCUUAGAACCCAGAAGCAGGUAGGC